CCAGACUGUCCAACGGCCGAUUUAAACUGAAGUCAUUUAAAGACUUGAGCUGGUACUAGCAGUGGGUAAGCGCCACAAAUGUCUCUGCCACAAGUGGCCAACUAGUACGGUGCUACCGGAAGAGCCGUAUCCCCACUCAGAGAGACGGUCUUCCGGUCUUCAGUUGUUGCGUGACAUAGCCCUCUUGAGUCCAGAGAAUAGACUCGAAUUUUGGACAGCAUCAGUCAUGUAAGUCACAUGACUGAUGCUGUUUCCGCCGUCGGCUUCAUCCCGGGUAUAUUACCAUAACGCGGCGCGAAAACAUGGCUGGUAGCAAUGGGUACGUGUGGACCAAUGAGGAGAGAGGAGAACAGGCCAACCUCUCUCCAUUUAGACAAAGAACUUACGGCCGUUUUACAGUAGCCAAGCUGGCGCGCGCCAAUGUGUACUGUAACGUUUUACAGCCAUGCGUAACGUCAACUUGAUUAACAGAGUUGUGUCUGAAGGUGGAUUAUUUCGUCCCUCUGAGGAAUGUCUCCGUCCUGCUGCCCGCGGGACAACGAUGGUACUAACGUCUUAGAAACUAACUGUACAUAUAGAAACCUCACCGUAGAUGAUGAUGAUGAUGUUGUGUGGACUACUUUUUCGUCUAAUUUUGCACAGAAUGUAUAACAGAUCUUCACUGUUCCUCCUGAUUGUUGGACGACGUGUUCGUCCUGAUUCUGACUUCACGUUUCAUAUCAAUAGACGCCGCAGAAGAAUGGUCGUACCGCACGUUUAAAAUGUGUUUAUCAAACCGAGAGGGUACACGGUGAAGUACACAGGGAAGUACACGGUAAUAAUGCAAAGAGAGGGGAUCUGGUUUUUAAGCGAUGUCGAUCUGGGAACUUUCUGGGAAAGGACCGAGGAGAUAUGAGAUGAGAGACAUGAGAAGCAGCUGAACGUGGCCGUGUUUAUCUGCUGUGUUACGGCCAUUUUUCAGGUGUAAAGUAUCACAGAAUAUUCCUUUAGACGCGAUGAUGUCACUCCACGUUACUGUCACUUCCUGUCAGACAUGAUUAAGCUCCGCCUCCACCGUAUAUCUGUGACAUGUUUUCUCUGCAGCUGCAUUAUUAGUUUUAACUUAAUGAUAAACUCUCCUUCAACACAACCAGUUACUUUCUCAGCCUCUUAUAGAGUAUGUAUAGAGAGGCCAAGUCCCGCCUCUUCCUGUUCUCAGCCUCUUACAGAGUAUGUAUAGAGAGGCCAAGUCCCGCCCCUUCCGGUGUCCACCAAUAAGGGACUUUAUUCUGGAAAAAAUCUACUCAUUUGUUGUUUUUUUUUACGUUAUUGUUGGUAUUUAGUGUCUAAGCAUCAUGGGAGUUGUAGUUGAUCCUGAGCUGGUUGUGUUGAAGGUUCUGUUUGUUGAGUUUUUGUUUCAGCC
Sander lucioperca (pikeperch) is the source of this 1402-nucleotide long non-coding RNA. RefSeq lists it as uncharacterized. NCBI's taxonomy places the organism in Eukaryota, Metazoa, Chordata, Actinopteri, Perciformes, Percidae. The record is from RefSeq and is a predicted model, not a curated record. The transcript is spliced from 2 exons.